Molecule: ribosomal RNA, 437 nt
Filed under: uncultured Clostridiales Family IV bacterium
Lineage: Bacteria; Bacillati; Bacillota; Clostridia; Eubacteriales; Eubacteriales Family IV. Incertae Sedis
Description: bacterial SSU rRNA
Rfam family: Bacterial small subunit ribosomal RNA
Source: RNAcentral
ACGGAAGGCAGCAGUGGGGGAUAUUGCACAAUGGAGGAAACUCUGAUGCAGCAACGCCGCGUGAGGGAAGAAGGUUUUCGGAUUGUAAACCUCUGUUUUUAGUGAAGAAACAAAUGACGGUAGCCAAAGAGGAAGCCACGGCUAACUACGUGCCAGCAGCCGCGGUAAUACGUAGGUGGCAAGCGUUGUCCGGAAUUACUGGGUGUAAAGGGAGCGCAGGCGGGACUGCAAGUUGGAUGUGAAAUACCGAGGCUUAACUUCGGGGCUGCAUCCAAAACUGUAGUUCUUGAGUGAAGUAGAGGUUGGCGGAAUUCCGAGUGUAGCGGUGAAAUGCGUAGAUAUUCGGAGGAACACCAGUGGCGAAGGCGGCCAACUGGGCUUUAACUGACGCUGAGGCUCGAAAGUAUGGGGAGCAAACAGGAUUAGAUACCCUGGUA